RNAcentral lists this ribosomal RNA (520 nucleotides) under uncultured Glomus. RNAcentral's name for it is "SSU rRNA". It matches the Rfam family "Eukaryotic small subunit ribosomal RNA", at positions 569 to 1091 of the family's 1831-position model. Lineage: Eukaryota; Fungi; Glomeromycota; Glomeromycetes; Glomerales; Glomeraceae. The record is from RNAcentral.
AGCAGCCGCGGUAAUUCCAGCUCCAAUAGCGUAUAUUAAAGUUGUUGCAGUUAAAAGCUCGUAGUUGAAUUUCGGGGUUAGUAGGUUGGUCAUGCCUCUGGUAUGUACUGGUCUCACUGAUUCCUCCUUCCUGAUGAGCCGUAAUGCCAUUAAUUUGGUGUUGCGGGGAAUUUGGACUGUUACUUUGAAAAAAUUAGAGUGUUUAAAGCAAGCUAACGCUUGAAUACAUUAGCAUGGAAUAAUGAAAUAGGACGUUCGAUCCUAUUUUGUUGGUUCUAGGAUUGACGUAAUGAUUAAUAGGGAUAGUUGGGGGCAUUAGUAUUCAAUUGUCAGAGGUGAAAUUCUUGGAUUUAUUGAAGACUAACUACUGCGAAAGCAUUUGCCAAGGAUGUUUUCAUUAAUCAAGAACGAAAGUUAGGGGAUCGAAGACGAUCAGAUACCGUCGUAGUCUUAACCAUAAACUAUGCCGACUAGGGAUCGGAUGAUGUUAAUUUUUUCAAUGACUCAUUCGGCGCCUUAC